GGACCCGCACAAGUAGUGGAGCAUGUGGUUUAAUUCGAAGAUACGCGCAGAACCUUACCAACACUUGACAUGUUCGUCGCGACUCUAAGAGAUUAGAGUUUUCGGUUCGGCCGGACGAAACACAGGUGCUGCAUGGCUGUCGUCAGCUCGUGUCGUGAGAUGUUGGGUUAAGUCCCGCAACGAGCGCAACCCUUACUUUUAGUUGCCACCAUUUAGUUGGGCACUCUGAAAGAACUGCCAGUGAUAAGCUGGAGGAAGGUGGGGAUGACGUCAAGUCCUCAUGGCCCUUACGUGUUGGGCUACACACGUGCUACAAUGGCAUUUACAAUAGGAAGCAAGACGGCGACGUUAAGCAAAUCCUAAAAAAAUGCCUCAGUUCGGAUUGUACUCUGCAACUCGAGUACAUGAAGCUGGAAUUACUAGUAA
RNAcentral lists this ribosomal RNA (426 nucleotides) under uncultured bacterium. Its description in RNAcentral is "bacterial SSU rRNA". It matches the Rfam family "Bacterial small subunit ribosomal RNA", at positions 917 to 1341 of the family's 1533-position model. The record is from RNAcentral.